Long non-coding RNA from Oncorhynchus tshawytscha (Chinook salmon), 527 nucleotides. NCBI's taxonomy places the organism in Eukaryota, Metazoa, Chordata, Actinopteri, Salmoniformes, Salmonidae. The record is from Ensembl.
GUAAUGUAUGUGUUUGGUGUGGAGAGGUAAUGUGUGGAUAGGUCACGUGUGGAGAGGUAAUGUAUGUGUUUGGGCAAUGUGUGGAGAGGUAAUGUGUGGAGAAGUAAUGUUGUUUGUUUGGGUAAUGUGUGGAGAGGUAAUAAAUGUAUGUGGGUAAUGUGCGGAGAGGUAUUGUGUGUGUUUGGUGUGGAGAGGUAAUGGUUGUGUGGAGAGGUAAUGUGUGUGUUUGGUGUGGAGAGGCAAUGUUUGGUGUGGAGAGGCAAUGUUUGUGUGGAGAGGUAAUGUAUGUGUUUGGUGUGGAGAUGUAAUGUUUGUGUGGAGAGGUAAUGUGUGGAGAGGUAAUGUGUGUGUCUGGGUAAUGUGUGGAGAGGUAAUGUAUGUGUUUGGUGUGGAGAUGUAAUGUUUGUGUGGAGAGGUAAUGUGUGUGUCUGGGUAAUGUGUGGAGAGGUCAUGUAUGUGUGUUGGUAAUGUGUGGAGAGGUAAUGUUUGUGUGGAGAGGCAAUGUAUGUGUCUGGGUAAUGUGUGGA